This 262-nucleotide ribosomal RNA is filed under the name uncultured bacterium. RNAcentral's name for it is "partial 16S ribosomal RNA". It matches the Rfam family "Bacterial small subunit ribosomal RNA", at positions 524 to 785 of the family's 1533-position model. The record is from RNAcentral.
UACGUAGGGGGCUAGCGUUGUCCGGAAUCAUUGGGCGUAAAGCGCGUGUAGGCGGUCCGGUAAGUCCGCUGUGAAAGUCGGGGGCUCAACCCUCGGAUGCCGGUGGAUACUGUCGGGCUUGAGUACGGAAGAGGCGAGUGGAAUUCCUGGUGUAGCGGUGAAAUGCGCAGAUAUCAGGAGGAACACCAAUUGCGAAGGCAGCUCGCUGGGACGUUACUGACGCUGAGACGCGAAAGCGUGGGGAGCAAACAGGAUUAGAUAC